UGCGGACCGACUCCGGUUGAUCCUGCCGGACCCGACUGCUAUCAGGGUGAGACUAAGCCAUGCGAGUCCACACUCUGGGCCACGACAGAGUGUGGCGCACGGCUCAGUAAUACACGGUCAACCUACCCUUAGGACGCGGAUAACCGCGGGAAAGGUGAGCUGUAAUCAUAAAUAAAAUCCUUCUACCUAGAAAAUCCCCUCAAUAUUCAAUUCUCCCAAUAACAAUCACACUACAGCUCACCCCCGAGACUGCGGAUAAUCCGCGAUAGGGGAGAAUGCCUGGGAUGGUUUCUCCCCGAAAGGGCUUCAGAGUCAUGCUCUCUGAAGCCGCCUAAGGAUGGGACCGUGCCCGAUCAGGUAGUUGGUGGGGUAACGGCCCACCAAGCCUAAGACCGGUGCGGGCCGUGGGAGCGGGAGCCCGGAGAUGGACCCUGAGACAAGGGUCCAGGCCCUACGGGGCGCAGCAGGCGCGAAA
RNAcentral lists this ribosomal RNA (475 nucleotides) under Candidatus Bathyarchaeota archaeon. RNAcentral's name for it is "bacterial SSU rRNA". It matches the Rfam family "Archaeal small subunit ribosomal RNA", at positions 1 to 346 of the family's 1478-position model. Lineage: Archaea; Thermoproteati; Candidatus Bathyarchaeota. The record is from RNAcentral.